This 406-nucleotide ribosomal RNA is filed under the name uncultured bacterium. RNAcentral's name for it is "partial 16S ribosomal RNA". It matches the Rfam family "Bacterial small subunit ribosomal RNA", at positions 30 to 526 of the family's 1533-position model. The record is from RNAcentral.
AUUGAACGCUGGCGGCAGGCUUAACACAUGCAAGUCGAGCGAGCGGCGGACGGGUGAGUCAUGCCUGGGAAACUGCCUGAUGGAGGGGGAUUACUACUGGAAACGGUAGCUAAUAUCGCAUACCAUCGGAUGUGCCCAGAUGGGAUUAGCUAGUAGGUGGGGUAAAGGCUCACCUUGGCGACGAUCCCUAGCUGGUCUGAGAGGAUGACCAGGCACACUGGAACUAAGACACGGUCCAGACUCCUACGUGAGGCAGCAGUGGGGAUGAUUGCCCAAUGGGCGAAAGCCUAGUGAAGCCAUGCCGCGUGUAGUAAGAAGGCCUGCGGGUUGUAAAGUACUUUCAGCGGGGAGGCGUUACCCGCAGAAGAGGCACCGGCUAAGUCCGUACCAGCAGCCGCGGUAAUAC